UCCCUCUCAGGGUCACACCUGGAGAGUUCCUAGUACUCUACCGGUCUCGACUACAGGAGGGAGAGUCAGACAGAGGCCUAUCCAUUCCAUUCCUAGCUGGAGCAGUGGUUAGCGAGUGGAAAGCAAUCUGCUCCAAUU
RNAcentral lists this small nucleolar RNA (138 nucleotides) under Ornithorhynchus anatinus (platypus). Lineage: Eukaryota; Metazoa; Chordata; Mammalia; Monotremata; Ornithorhynchidae. The record is from RNAcentral.